GUAACAUACGCGCGUUUUGGUGCUCGCGGCCGGAUUCCCGGCCGCAGUUAAACGGGAAACACGCGCCGGCGUUGCCGGCGGUCAACGUGUGCUGCCCCCGCAACGGUAAGACAGGCGCCGCAUCCUUCGAUGCGGCAGGUUGCCUCCAAGGUCCACUGUACCGGCAAGACCAGGUAUGGGAAGGCGUGGCGAUCGGUUCUGUCAGCCCGGAUACCGGCCAGGACGGAUGGACGCAG
Molecule: non-coding RNA, 236 nt
Filed under: Herbaspirillum sp.
Lineage: Bacteria; Pseudomonadati; Pseudomonadota; Betaproteobacteria; Burkholderiales; Oxalobacteraceae
Source: RNAcentral